This 253-nucleotide ribosomal RNA is filed under the name uncultured bacterium. Its description in RNAcentral is "partial 16S ribosomal RNA". It matches the Rfam family "Bacterial small subunit ribosomal RNA", at positions 524 to 776 of the family's 1533-position model. The record is from RNAcentral.
UACGUAGGGCGCAAGCGUUAUCCGGAAUUAUUGGGCGUAAAGAGCUCGUAGGCGGUCUGUCACGUCGGCUGUGAAAACCCGAGGCUCAACCUCGGGCCUGCAGUCGAUACGGGCAGACUAGAGUUCGGUAGGGGAGACUGGAAUUCCUGGUGUAGCGGUGAAAUGCGCAGAUAUCAGGAGGAACACCGGUGGCGAAGGCGGGUCUCUGGGCCGAAACUGACGCUGAGGAGCGAAAGCGUGGGGAGCGAACAGG